Molecule: ribosomal RNA, 451 nt
Filed under: uncultured bacterium
Lineage: Bacteria
Description: bacterial SSU rRNA
Rfam family: Bacterial small subunit ribosomal RNA
Source: RNAcentral
GUGAGGAAUUUUGCGCAAUGGGGGAAACCCUGACGCAGCAACGCCGCGUGGGUGAUGAAGGCCUUUGGGUCGUAAAGCCCUGUCAAGUGGGAAGAACCCGCAUGGUGCGAAUAAUGCCAUGCGCUGACGGUACCACUGAAGGAAGCACCGGCUAACUCCGUGCCAGCAGCCGCGGUAAUACGGGGGGUGCAAGCGUUAUUCGGAAUUAUUGGGCGUAAAGGGCGCGUAGGCGGCUGCCUAAGUCAGGCGUGAAAGCCCGGGGCUUAACCCCGGAAGUGCGUUUGAAACUGGGUGGCUUGAGUAUGGGAGAGGGAAGCGGAAUUCCUGGUGUAGAGGUGAAAUUCGUAGAUAUCAGGAGGAACACCUGUGGCGAAGGCGGCUUCCUGGACCAAUACUGACGCUGAGGCGCGAAGGCGUGGGGAGCAAACAGGAUUAGAAACCCUAGUAGUCC